CUCCCAUGCUGGCUGCUGUGAUUUCAGAGGCUGCAAAUGCCCUGCUGGUGUGAACUCCUGACUCCAAGCUCUCACAGCCUGGGAAGCAGUGUGGCAAUGCCUUUGGCAGCGUGAACGUGAAGGCGAGAGAAAGCACAGAGCAGACCAGAGGGCAGGCAGAAUGAUGCUAUGUUUAGGACUGAGUACCAGGCUGAGGAGCUGGAAUGCUUCACUCCAUCACAGGCAUUGAUAGCUGGGACCUCAGCAUGAACCUUCCAGAGGACAUAAAAGGGCUCGAUAAGAUAAGAAAUGAGCUAUCGAGUGCUGCUCUCGAGACAUCAUCCUCAACUCCUUGAAGUCAACAGAAAGCUACUGAGAGUCUUCAGCGGGCUUUGGAUCAGACGUUCGGCGUAUUAACGGUAAGAGUAUUUGCGUUCACCC
Molecule: long non-coding RNA, 420 nt
Filed under: Phasianus colchicus (ring-necked pheasant)
Lineage: Eukaryota; Metazoa; Chordata; Aves; Galliformes; Phasianidae
Description: lncRNA (ENSPCLG00000008634.1)
Source: RNAcentral